CUUGAAAGUCACUUUUUGCUUUCUAAAAAUUUAAUGGUAUUUCUUAUCCAUUUAGAUUUGAUAAUAUAAGUGGUACAAUCCAAGGACAAUGGUAAAAGAAACUAAUUUAGAUAAUGAUGUUCAUCAUAUUAUAGACUAGACAAGGAAUAAAAGAGAGUUUAUGGUUUUAUUUUACAUACUUAAUAGAAAGGAAUAGACACAUUCAUUCAUCUGGAUUUCAUGAAGGCCCUUGAUUUCGUUCACUUUUGCUACUUAUGUCACCACUGUAACCUUCCCAAUUUUUCAAAUAUCCCCAACCUAUUUUAUUAUUUGAUCUCCUCCUCCUCCUCCUCCAUCAAGUUCACUUUCUUUAUCGUUUCCACCUUCGAUUUGUUCACCUCCACCUUGUGCACCUCCUUCACUACCAUUUCCUCCUGUGCCUGAUCCACCUUUUGAUCCUCCUUUACCACCCUUUCCUUUUACUCCAUGGCUUGUCCAACUUCCACCCGGGGGUCUCCAUGAAACUUUUAAUUUGAAUUCUUCUAUUUCACAAACUGCAUAGUAACAAACAUUUUUUAUUAAAUAUGAUAAAAGAAGGAAGAAAUUAUGUGUGUUUAUUUAUGUUUUAUAUACAUUCUUUCUCAUCUUUGGAUGGCUCAAUUGUCACAACAGAGAUAAAAAUAAGUUCACAAAUAAAGGAG
RNAcentral lists this long non-coding RNA (680 nucleotides) under Medicago truncatula (barrel medic). RNAcentral's name for it is "lncRNA gene9504". The record is from RNAcentral. Lineage: Eukaryota; Viridiplantae; Streptophyta; Magnoliopsida; Fabales; Fabaceae.